This 72-nucleotide transfer RNA is filed under the name Camelus bactrianus (Bactrian camel). It matches the Rfam family "tRNA". From Rfam's summary of the family: Transfer RNA (tRNA) molecules are approximately 80 nucleotides in length. Lineage: Eukaryota; Metazoa; Chordata; Mammalia; Artiodactyla; Camelidae. The record is from Rfam by way of RNAcentral. RNAcentral also lists the same sequence under 1 other name.
AAGGGUAUAGCUCAGUGGUAGAGUGUGUGCUUAGCAUGCAUGAGGUCUUGGGUUCAAUCCCCAGUACCUCUG